Molecule: ribosomal RNA, 301 nt
Filed under: uncultured bacterium
Lineage: Bacteria
Description: partial 16S ribosomal RNA
Rfam family: Bacterial small subunit ribosomal RNA
Source: RNAcentral
CAGCCGCCGCGGGAAUACGUAGGGUGCAAGCGUUAAUCGGAAUUACUGGGCGUAAAGCGUGCGCAGGCGGUUAUAUAAGUCAGAUGUGAAAUCCCCGGGCUCAACCUGGGAACUGCAUUUGAGACUGUAUGGCUAGAGUGUGUCAGAGGGGGGUAGAAUUCCACGUGUAGCAGUGAAAUGCGUAGAUAUGUGGAGGAAUACCGAUGGCGGAGGCAGCCCCCUGGGAUAACACUGACGCUCAUGCACGAAAGCGUGGGGAGCAAACAGGAUUAGAUACCCCAGUAGUACCUGUCUCUUAUAC